GGAGGCUAACACCUGCAGUCGAGCGGGAUUAGAUAGCUUGCUAUCUAUGAGAGCGGCGCACGGGUGAGUAACGCGUAUGCAACCUACCUUUUACAGUGCGAAUAGCCCAGAGAAAUUUGGAUUAAUGCCCCAUGGUUCUGUAUUAUCGCAUGGUAUAACAGAUAAAGUUCCGACGGUAAAAGAUGGGCAUGCGUGACAUUAGUUUGUUGGUGAGGUAACGGCUCACCAAGACUACGAUGUCUAGGGGUUCUGAGAGGAUGAUCCCCCACACUGGUACUGAGACACGGACCAGACUCCUACGGGAGGCAGCAGUGAGGAAUAUUGGUCAAUGGGCGCAAGCCUGAACCAGCCAUCCCGCGUGAAGGAUGACUGCCCUAUGGGUUGUAAACUUCUUUUAUGUACCAAGAAUGUGUUCCUCGUGAGGGAUUUUGACGGUAGUACAUGAAUAAGCAUCGGCUAACUCCGUGCCAGCAGCCGCGGUAAUACGGAGGAUGCGAGCGUUAUCCGGAUUCAUUGGGUUUAAAGGGUGCGUAGGCGGCUUUAUAAGUCAGUGGUGAAAUCCUGCGGCUCA
Molecule: ribosomal RNA, 571 nt
Filed under: uncultured Bacteroidota bacterium
Lineage: Bacteria; Pseudomonadati; Bacteroidota
Description: bacterial SSU rRNA
Rfam family: Bacterial small subunit ribosomal RNA
Source: RNAcentral